CUGCCCUCAAGCCCGGCUUGUGUGUUGGGCCUUCGUCCCCCCCACCGGGGGGACGGGCCCGAAAGGCAGUGGCGGCACCGUGUCCGGUCCUCGAGUGUAUGGGGCUCUGUCACUCACUCUGUAGGCCUGGCCGGUGCCCGCCGACCCCCCGUCUUCCUUUUUUCCAGG
This 168-nucleotide unclassified non-coding RNA is filed under the name uncultured Penicillium. Its description in RNAcentral is "sequence contains ITS2". The record is from RNAcentral. Lineage: Eukaryota; Fungi; Ascomycota; Eurotiomycetes; Eurotiales; Aspergillaceae.